UGGGGAAUUUUGGACAAUGGGGGCAACCCUGAUCCAGCAAUGCCGCGUGUGUGAAGAAGGCUUUCGGGUUGUAAAGCACUUUUGUCCGGGAAGAAAUCGCACCUGAUAAUACCGGGUGUGGAUGACGGUACCGGAAGAAUAAGGACCGGCUAACUACGUGCCAGCAGCCGCGGUAAUACGUAGGGUCCAAGCGUUAAUCGGAAUUACUGGGCGUAAAGCGUGCGCAGGCGGUUGUGCAAGACCGAUGUGAAAUCCCCGGGCUUAACCUGGGAAUUGCAUUAGUGACUGCACGGCUAGAGUGUGUCAGAGGAGGGUAGAAUUCCACGUGUAGCAGUGAAAUGCGUAGAGAUGUGGAGGAAUACCGAUGGCGAAGGCAGCCCCCUGGGAUAACACUGACGCUCAUGCACGAAAGCGUGGGGAGCAAACAGG
RNAcentral lists this ribosomal RNA (429 nucleotides) under Bacillota bacterium. RNAcentral describes it as "Firmicutes bacterium partial 16S ribosomal RNA". It matches the Rfam family "Bacterial small subunit ribosomal RNA", at positions 355 to 776 of the family's 1533-position model. Lineage: Bacteria; Bacillati; Bacillota. The record is from RNAcentral.